UACAGAGGUCUCAACCGUUGUUCGGAUUCAUUGGGCGUAAAGGGUGCGUAGGCGGUCGCGCAAGUCGGAUGUGAAAUCUCACAGCUUAACUGUGAAACUGCAUUGGAUACUAUCCGGCUAGAGGAAUGGAGGGGAGACUGGAAUACUUGGUGUAGCAGUGAAAUGCGUAGAUAUCAAGUGGAACACCAGUGGCGAAGGCGAGUCUCUGGACAUUUCCUGACGCUGAGGCACGAAAGCCAGGGGAGCAAACGGG
RNAcentral lists this ribosomal RNA (253 nucleotides) under uncultured bacterium. Its description in RNAcentral is "partial 16S ribosomal RNA". It matches the Rfam family "Bacterial small subunit ribosomal RNA", at positions 524 to 776 of the family's 1533-position model. The record is from RNAcentral.